UGGGGGAUAUUGCACAAUGGGCGAAAGCCUGAUGCAGCGACGCCGCGUGGGGGAUGAAGGCUUUCGGGUUGUAAACCUCUUUCGCUAUCGAACAAGGCCCGCUUAGGGUGGGUUGAGGGUAGGUGGAGAAGAAGCGCCGGCUAACUACGUGCCAGCAGCCGCGGUAAUACGUAGGGCGCGAGCGUUGUCCGGAAUUAUUGGGCGUAAAGGGCUUGUAGGCGGCUUGUUGCGCCUGCUGUGAAAACGCGGGGCUUAACUUCGCGCGUGCAGUGGGUACGGGCAGGCUUGAGUGGGGUAGGGGGGACUGGAAUUACAGGUGUAGCGGUGGAAUGCGCAGAUAUCUGGAGGAACACCGAUGGGGAAGGAAGGUCACUGGGCCAUUACUGACGCUGAGGAGCGAAAGAAUGGGUAGCGAACAGG
RNAcentral lists this ribosomal RNA (420 nucleotides) under bacterium. RNAcentral describes it as "partial 16S ribosomal RNA". It matches the Rfam family "Bacterial small subunit ribosomal RNA", at positions 355 to 776 of the family's 1533-position model. The record is from RNAcentral.